RNAcentral lists this long non-coding RNA (8269 nucleotides) under Solanum tuberosum (potato). RNAcentral describes it as "long non-coding RNA (STUB_LNC005101)". Lineage: Eukaryota; Viridiplantae; Streptophyta; Magnoliopsida; Solanales; Solanaceae. The record is from RNAcentral.
UUAUAAGUUAAGGUCAUUUUCACAAAGAAAACUAACAAAAUAUAGGUGCCAGUAAUAUAACAUUGAUGAGGAAAGCUUCAAACUCCAUGAACACUUGCAUAUUAUAUUUUUUAAAGGAACACUCUGUAUCAGUUACAGUUUUAGUAUAAUUAUUUUCUGCAAAAAGUAGGUUAUCAAUACAUUUCAUAACUACAUGACCUGAUAAUGUAAUACACUGCAGGGUCUUGUACAAAAGAAACAACCACAAUAAGGGUAACUAGAAAACACAAAGUAUGAUAUGAAUGAUCCAACUUGCAGAUAGAAGCACCAUUGUUAUUCCACUAAAAGAUCUUGGAUGACUGAUAUAAAAGAAGCCAAUAUUCUUAAUACAUAAUAGUACUUUGAUUUUGGAAGCUACAUAUUGCAUAAUAGGUACUGAGAAAGACAACACUCGUGACUAAAUAACAAAACGAUUCACAAAUUUUUUAUCUCUUUAGUGUAUUGCUGGUAAGAAUACUUGUAUUUUUUAUUGUUAAGAAUACUUGAUUUUAGUUUCUUUUCCAAAUGAAAUCCAAACGUACAAUACAAUAUGUGAAUAAUUAAACGACUCAGAGGACAUUAAAGUCACAGUUACCUUUUAUCUAACUCUUCUAACAAAAUGGAAGAUAUAUCUAACCAAUAAACCAGGCGCAUAUUUAAAGUAUUCAACUGGUAAUUUCUCCUGCACAAAUGGAGGAUGCAACAUUUCGUUGACUAAUCUGUGUUCUUCCUAUGAUUGAAAGCUUCAUUUUCCAAAAUGGGGAUGAGGCAUUUGAACCCUAGUCUUGUCCAAGACAAAUGCCAAAGUUUGAUAAACCUAAGUGUGAUAUUUACCUUCUUUGACUUUACCACUAUAAGUAUAUGAUCAAUGAAGAGUAAAACAAUGAACAAUGAAUAAAAAUAUGCCAGACCCAGUACAAGCUAUGUUUCCACCAUUGUCUUGACCUGUGAAGAGAUGUAAUUCCAUUUCUUUUAUUCUGAGAACCACAUUUUUCUAGACAUUUUCACUACAUGCCUACUCUGAACAAAGCAACAGGCAUGAUACGAAACUGAAGCAAAAACAACAAGAGUCAGCUCGUGUUAACAACAGUUAUAUAUUACACUUGCAAAUAUAUUCUCCAAAUAAACACCAAACUUGUGCAUGAUAUUUCAGUUUCACGAGUAUCCUCAAACAGUUGGACAUGCAUACAUGAAAAUAUAUGAACUAAAUAUCAUUUCCAAUUGAACUCUCUCUUUUUCUUUUUCUGGUCUCCAAAGAGAGAAAUAAAAACAGAAACUAUGAAGGAAAAAAGAACUUUGUGCAAAUAUCUACUCACUUUUCCUGACGUCGUAAUAGGACAAAAUAAAUUGGAUCCUGUAAAGAUUCCUGAGUUGAAAGCUUAAGAAAUUGCAAUACGAUGUAGCCACAUGUAGCAAUGCUGUAAAGGGAGUAGAGAGAAUGUUAUCACCGUCCCUGAAUAUAUAAUCACAAACUGGCAAACAUUUAUGCAUGAUAUUGAUUGAACUUUGUAAGGGAAAUGACAACAUGGCCUUCUGAUGCCAUGCAAGGAUAAUACAAAUUGAAAAGGAAGAUAGUCAUCGCCACUAGAAUGCAAGAAAAUUUGUAUCCUAUGCAAUACAAGAUGCCAAAAGACAUCAAGGUAAAUGUGCAGUCAUACAAAAUUGAAUAUACGUUGAAACAAAGGGUGCAGUUGCACACAUAGAGGAUAUAGUAAGAGAAAAUCGUCUUUGAUAGACCUAAAAUACAUCAAAUAUACACCAGUCAACUGGUGUAACAUGAUUGAAGGUGCUGAAAGGGAUGAGAAAGACCUAAAAUCGCAUGGAGGAGGUUGUCUGAAAAGACCUACAAAAUCUAGGAAUCAUUGCAAAUCUGAAAAAGUAACAACAUGGAAGAAAAGAUCCAAAUCAAUAAUACUAGCUAGUGUGCAUUGAGGCUUAAUUUAUGCUGUUGCACAAAUAUUAGGUUCAUAAGUGUGACAUUUAGAGAUUUUCUGGAACUUUGCCUUACAAGACAAACUUCUAGCUAGUAUUGGAAUGAUGUGGGCCCAAAUAGAGAGAAAUAUGUAGAGAAUUCAAAUCGCGGACCUAGUUCAGUUUGAGGUAUAGUUGAUCGAUUGAUUGAUUGACUGGGUAUAUCAUCAAGGAAGAUAUCUAUAUGCAAAGGGAAUUCAUAGCAGCGAACACGAGAUAUAAAUAAUUGGGAACAUCAAUCCUAAGACUGUAAUGCCCAUGGGUGAAGACAAAAAACAGUGUAUGUCAACAGAUAGAAACCUAUAGCCCUGAAAGAAAAAAUAUAACAAGCCAUCAGAGCAUUCUUCACGAGAAUGUACUACAGUACUAACCAAGGGAAGAAUAAAUUUGGUCACACUGUUCAAAAUAUGUGAAAAAUUUCAACCUGAGAAUUCAGUCAUAUAAGAGAUGCUAAGAGAAAGCUUGAAGAACAGUCAUCAUCUGAAACUAAAAGUACAUCAAAGUUGUUAUAUAUACAGGAAUAAGGGUGGCAUACCUUCCUAAACAUACUAGCAAGACCACCCAAAGUAUUGCAGUAAUCCAGUUUGAUUCCUUGUAGACAACCCAGGACUGAUAACACAACACCAAAACAUGAGAGCAUUGCUUUUGCGGUUUUGCCUUUAGAUGAUAAGAGCAGAGAAACAUAGUAACAUGCGAUGCAUUCUGGCCAAUGUCUUGGAAUAAAAAUAUUGUUUACAAUGCAAUUGAAACCCAAAGGACCUCAAAGAUGUAACCCAGCAAAAAAUAAAGAGCUAAGAAGGGUAACUACAGGGUGAGAUAUUUUCCUAAUCAAUGUUUUGCUUAAACUGCAGGAUGACAUUCUAUAGUAGCAUUUGCACAAGCCCAUGGGCUCCUAUGAAGUGCAACGGCAAACUUCAAAUCUCAGCCUAAGGCUAAGGAUUAAAAAUUGCACACUAUAGGAACUUAAUUCUUCUAUAGUAUUGCACAAAUGUCUGAGAAUCUUAACCUUUAUACCAUUUAUAGCUCUAACUUCUAUACCCUUUAUAUCUCUAACAUCUAACAUAGUAGGUGCGCCAAAUUCAACAUGUUCUCCUUAUUAUCCAAUGCUAGUAAAACUGUAGCAAAUAAAAUGCAAUCGACUUCAGAAUAAAGGUUCGCAUAUGAAACAUUUUGAAGCAUUAAAUUAAUCAUGGCAUACCCAUAUAACAAUUAUGUGGAUGUAGAAAUCUAUCAGGGUAGCUGCCAUCCACCUGCAAGAUUCAUCCCACUCAUUUCAGAUUGUCUGGAAAGCAGAUGGAAGUGGAACUAAACUAUUUUUUUUUUAUAAGGUAAGUGGUAUUAAUAACAGCAUCACGAAGACAGAUGAACUAAACUAUUUUUCAAGUCAAAAUCUCAAUUUCAAGUAAGUUACUUUUUCUUAACCGUUUUCAAAAAACUGUUACUCCUCUGUCGGAGUACAAGGGUCAAAAAUCUUAUUUCGAGUAUGAAUUCGGGUAUAGAUUUUUCAUUUUUUUAAAAAUAGAACUGCUAUAUUUGUAAACUACACGAAAAGUAGUGCAAAUCAACAUAGCUAAUCAUUCAAAAUAUUCAAAAGAAAUUUGAGAAAGUUGAAAUAAAAAAAGUGGUGGACUCUCCAAACAGUAACAACUUCACAUAAAAUGAGAAUGAGGGACUACUAUAAGAUAACUAACACAUAAUUAACUAAAAAAAAUUUACUCCCUCGGUUUCAAUGUGAUUGUCCUAUUUUAACUUGGUACCAAGUUGAAGGAAGGAAAAGAAACUUCUGAACUAAAGAUAUGUCAAAUAAAUCAAAAUACCAUUUAAUUUUGUGGUCUUAAACAAGCCUCGUGCAAAGUUAGAAUUAAAGAAUUGCUGAAAAAGGAAAGGAGCAUUCUUGUAUAAACGAACUAAAAGAGAAAGUAUGACAAACAAAUCGAAAUCCAGGGAGUGUCUUGUUUCUAGCAGCUUGAACUUUUACACCUUGUUUGGAUGGUUGUUACCCAUCGUAUUAUAUUGUUAAUUUAAAUACAAUGUUUGUUUUGAUUGUUACUUAAAUUCUAUUGUAUCGUAUCGUUUAAAUCCAUCGUUAGGUAACGAUUAAAAGUCUCAUUUUAUGUAACGACUAACUUGGUAUGAUCGUGUCAUUACUUUAAUAUUCUCUUCUCUUUUUGUCUUUAUUUAUUAUUUAAUAAUCCUAUUUUAUCUUUUACCCUACCUUUUCAUAGUAGCACUACCUUGUACCAUCCUUUUCUUAUAAGCUUAUCACUCAAAUUCCUGAUGUGUGACAUUAUAUAACAGCAGAGAACGAUACAAUCUAUCCAAACAUUGUAUUCAUUAAAACGAUACAGUACAACACAAUACAAUACAAUACAACACGAUACAUUAUGAAACAAUACUUGACAACCAUCCAAACAGAGUGCUAGUAAAGGUGAGGAGAAAGAAAUCCAGGUGUAGGUGUUCAAAAUAUAAAAAUGUAACUAAAAGUGAUCCUUUUUUGAAUAAUUUAAGCUUUUAGAUAGGGUUUUUGUCGUUUUGUUUCCAUAAUUCAACAAUUUUUGGUACUGAUAAAGAUUCAAACCCCAAUUCAUCCAAACAGAAGCAUUAAUAAUCCAAAAAAAUGAAAUCCAAAGUAGAAUUAGUAUGACAGAGAGAGAGAGAAAAGGAUAAUACGAGGUGAGGAGUUCUAUGCGGAAAGGGAGGCCAUCAGUGGCGACGGUGUAUAUUACGGUGGCUGUAAUCAAACAUCCCAACACAGAGAAGAGACUCUUCAAUGCAAUUGCUAAAGUUGCUGCCAUUUUUGAGUACUCGGUCUUCGUCUUCGAGUUUUGCAGAAGAGAGAAAGGAAGCGUAUUGAAAAGGGGAGAAAAUGUGAGAAGGCCAUUGCUCCACGUCCACUGAAUAUUUGUGUCAAAACUUCAAAAUUUCUUGUAUUUGUAACCGUAAUAAAAUCGAAACAAAACAUACCAUGCGGGGCGGGGCAGAGUGGAGCGGCACUGGAUGAAAUUUUUGCGGGUUAAGUUUCAACCCGAUCCGCUCCAUUAUCAGCCUUAUAUGGGUGGGGAAACUUAAAAUGUCGAUUUAGUGUGCUAUUAAAGAGUUGGUUGUUGUUAACGUUAUUCUUGCUAAAAAAAUAUUUUUGAUAAUGUCGAUUACCUUUGUACUGAAUAAUAUAAGGAAAGUGAGGUUGAUUCGAGUACAUGAAAAGAAGAUUGUCUUACUGAGAAAAUGUGAGAAACUUACGAGGAUAUAAUCUUAUAUGAAAGAGGGUAUGGAGAUCAAGAUUAAGAUAGUAGAUAUUAAAAUUAAGAUAAACGGUUAGAAGGCAAUCAAGUAGUGACUAGUUUUCUUUACUAGUUGUAUUAUCUCUGAGAUUUUGUUACGUCUUGUUGUUGCUAUUUUCGAUUAUCGUAUUAUUUGCUAUUGUUAUUAUUUUUUAAAUUAAUUUUAGACUAUUUUACUUUGUGUACACAUAAAUUUACUCAGACCUUACUUAUAAAAUUGUAUAGAGUAUAUUAUUGUUGUUGUCCUAAUGAUAGCAAUCUAAACAAUUUAUGUGAUUGUCAUGUUUUAUUCUACUCUCACACACUAUAUAAAAAAACUGAGAUCACUAUCUAUACCACUUGACAAAGCAAUAGAUUAUAUUUAGAUAGAAAAUUCAAGGAUUAAAAGUAAUUCUUUUCAAUUAAAGUAUUAAACUAAAAAAAUGUGAAUACUUUAAAGGGGUUUGAAUUAUCAACUCUUCUAAUCGUGUUCAAAAUGUUUUAUGUCAAUGAAAUAUGAGAUGUCAUAACUUUUAUGCAUGGAGAUACAUUUUGCUAAAGAUGUAACAAAAUUUAAGUCCACAACAAACAGUAACAUAAUUAUUACAAGAAACAUUUUGGUUCUUUUACACAAACAUAUGUAGAUUGGAACUUUAUAUUGUUGACAUAUUUAUUAGGAAAAAAAGAAGAUGAAAGAGUCCAAUGAUCAAAUAAACCAUAUAACUUCUUGCUCAUUUGACCUUCUCCUAUGCUGUCCGUUUGAGAGGUUCCUUUAUACCCUCUUUUUCUUCCCUAAUAAGAACAAUUACAACACAAGGUUAGUCUAAAAUAAAAUAAUAUUGGAAAUUAUAAAAUAAAAUAAUGUGUAUAGAAUUGCUAAAGCUAAAUAAGAUAUUUGAGGAGCAGAGGAGGUUGUUUCUAAUAGACGUUCCGCUCAAAACAAAAUGUAAUCAAAGCAUGAUAGAAAGAAAAACUGGCAGCAAAUAGCAAAAUAACUUGGUAGUAGUGAAAAUUAGAAGAACAAGAUAUAUACUACAAUACCUAAAUUAUCUUUCGACCAUUAUCCUUGACCUCAAAAUCUUCCCAUCUAGGGUUAUGUGCUAAGUAAGCUGAAAAUGUCUCAUGUCUUGUCUAAUUACCUACCCGUUCUACUUUUGCCCAUCUCUACCUCUCCUAAAACAUACUAUAGUCAACCUCUCACACCUCCUCAUUAGUACAUUUGCGCUCCUCCUCUUCACAUGUCUGAACCAUUUUAGUUUCGCUUCCGUCAUCUUAUCCCCUACGGAAGCCACUUCAACCUUGUCUAGUAUAACUUCAUGAAGUUCCUAAUCAUAUCCCUCAUAAUAUACCCCACACAUUCAUAUGAGCAUCCUCAUCUCUGCUACCUUCAUCUUUUGAUUUUGACCGACCAACACUAUGCCCCAUUUAUAUAUACAACAAAGUAGGUCUGACCACCCUUCUGUAACUUACCUUUAAGCCUGAGUGACACAUAUUCAGAAAUGUAGCCCAUAUUCAGUUAAAAGAAAAUGAAAAACUACAUAUUCUAGACUUCCAUUCUGUUACCAGUCUUGAGAUUGUUCAGUCACUUGCACCAACAAAAGAAACCUUUUGUAAUAUGGUACAACUUUGACUAGGACAAGGAUAUCAGGGAGGUUUUUUUUCUUCUUAAAAAGCAGUAGUACAAGCAUUAUUGUUGCAACUGCAGAAUCAACAGGAUGUAAUAUCUUCUCAAUUUGCGUUUUCACAGGUAUAUGCACACAAAAUCUAUGUCAUAAUGAGAACACGCAUAAACAGAUGGUGCACAAACUUGCCUGUUGCUGCUGCUGCUGCUGAAAAGAACAAGGUACGCGGGAUCUUGAGAUGAGAGACUGAAAAGUUGAAGAGCAAUAUAGGCACUUGUGAUGGUGCUGAGGAAAUCAACAUAAAACAUGAAUUAGAUAUAAUUAUAGUCCAAAAAAAGCUGUUGUAAUAUAUCAUAUUUUGCUCUCACCCAUAUAGAGCAACAAAAAAGAUGACAUAUCGAUGAAGCUAACUGCAAACUGAUACCAUUUAUGCACUAUACUAGGAUAAAUACAACAUCAAAAUGUACCUGCCAAACAAAAUAAUUGGUAUGAUCCAAAAAGCUGCACUUAGCCAACUUGAUUCCUUAUAUGCAACCCAGACCUGGAAAGAAAUCACAUGAAAAAUCCUAAAUAACAAUAUUGUAACGUAGUAUUAUGUAAGUUUAUGGCAAGUUACUGCAUGCCAUAGCCAUACAUAGUAUUGUAUUUCACAAACUUUUGCCUUCCUUAUCAAGUCACAGAGAGAAGAAAUCUUUUAAUACCAAUGAGAUUAAGAGCAAAGGUAGCUAUACAAUGGAAAACUUACCGAGAGAGGUACAGCAAGGACAAAGUGAUCAAUUAGUGUUGUUGUCAUCCACCUGCACAGAUAUUGACUUCUCAAAUUGCAUGUCAAAGAAAGAUUUAUACCAAGCACAAGUCUAUACAGGCUGAUGUAUGGGGAUGCACAUGUAUCACUUCAUCACAAACUCGUAACGUUUGCUUUCCAGAGAAAAUUUCAAAAAAAAUUGCAACUGAUAGAUCGCAGCUCCUUGGAUAUGAUGGUAUCUAAUUAAAAGUAGGAACAAAUAAAUAAGCAAACAACUUACGGAGUGAAAGUAUCUCUGUGAAAUGGAGAACCAUAAGUUACAAGGAUAUAAAUCAGUGUCCCUAGCAUCAGACUGCCCAAAGCAAGAGAUAGAAUUCUUGCAGUUAAAAGAGAAUACUUCCUCCAUUGUUCUGUUUCAGUCCUGUAUCACAAAAUCUCAUCAGAUUAUUAUAAGUUAAGGUCAUUUUCAGAAAGAAAACUAAUACAAAUAGCUGUCACUCAUCAUAUAAAUUGAUGAGGAAAUCUUCAAACACCAAGAAACACUUAUUUUAUUUUUAAAGGAACGCUUAUUUGUAUCAGUUAAAUUUUAGUACUAUUAUUUUCUGCCAAGAGCAGGUUAUUAACAGUUCAUAACUACAUGAUCUGAUAAUGUA